CGGACGGGUGAGUAACACGUGGAUAACCUACCUAUAAGACUGGGAUAACUUCGGGAAACCGGAGCUAAUACCGGAUAAUAUAUUGAACCGCAUGGUUCAAUAGUGAAAGACGGUUUUGCUGUCACUUAUAGAUGGAUCCGCGCCGCAUUAGCUAGUUGGUAAGGUAACGGCUCACCAAGGCAACGAUGCGUAGCCGACCUGAGAGGGUGAUCGGCCACACUGGAACUGAGACACGGUCCAG
RNAcentral lists this ribosomal RNA (241 nucleotides) under uncultured Staphylococcus sp. Its description in RNAcentral is "partial 16S ribosomal RNA". It matches the Rfam family "Bacterial small subunit ribosomal RNA", at positions 99 to 334 of the family's 1533-position model. The record is from RNAcentral. Lineage: Bacteria; Bacillati; Bacillota; Bacilli; Caryophanales; Staphylococcaceae.